UUGGAGGGCAAGUCUGGUGCCAGCAGCCGCGGUAAUUCCAGCUCCAAUAGCGUAUAUUAAAGUUGUUGCAGUUAAAAAGCUCGUAGUUGAAUUUCGAGAUCAGUACGCUGGUCGUGCCUUCGGUAUGCACUGGUGUCACUGGUUUCUCCCUUCUGAAGAACCGUCAUGUCAUUAAGUUGGUGUGGCGGGGAGUCAGGACUGUUACUUUGAAAAAAUUAGAGUGUUUAAAGCAGGCUCGCGCUUGAAUACAUUAGCAUGGAAUAAUGAAAUAGGACGUUUGACCCUAUUUUGUUGGUUUCUAGGAUCGACGUAAUGAUUAAUAGGGAUAGUUGGGGGCAUUAGUAUUCAAUUGUCAGAGGUGAAAUUCUUGGAUUUAUUGAAGACUAACUACUGCGAAAGCAUUUGCCAAGGAUGUUUUCAUUAAUCAAGAACGAAAGUUAGGGGAUCGAAGACGAUCAGAUACCGUCGUAGUCUUAACCAUAAACUAUGCCGACUAGGGAUCGGAUGAUGUUAAUUUUUUAAUGACUCAUUCGGCGCCUUACGGGAAAC
RNAcentral lists this ribosomal RNA (549 nucleotides) under uncultured Glomus. Its description in RNAcentral is "SSU rRNA". It matches the Rfam family "Eukaryotic small subunit ribosomal RNA", at positions 548 to 1098 of the family's 1831-position model. Lineage: Eukaryota; Fungi; Glomeromycota; Glomeromycetes; Glomerales; Glomeraceae. The record is from RNAcentral.